Molecule: ribosomal RNA, 438 nt
Filed under: uncultured bacterium
Lineage: Bacteria
Description: bacterial SSU rRNA
Rfam family: Bacterial small subunit ribosomal RNA
Source: RNAcentral
UGGGGAAUAUUGCACAAUGGGCGCAAGCCUGACGCAGCGACGCCGCGUGAGGGAAGAAGGCCUUCGGGUUGUAAACCUCUUCAGUAGGGACGAAGCUACUCGGGUGAAUAGCCCAGAGGGUGACGGUACCUACAGAAGAAGCCCCGGCUAACUACGUGCCAGCAGCCGCGGUAAUACGUAGGGGGCAAGCGUUGUCCGGAUUUAUUGGGCGUAAAGAGCUCGUAGGUGGUUCGGUAAGUCGGAUGUGAAAUCUCCAGGCUCAACCUGGAGGGGUCAUUCGAUACUGCCGUGACUAGAGUUCGGUAGGGGAGUGUGGAAUUCCUGGUGGAGCGGUGAAAUGCGCAGAUAUCAGGAGGAACACCAGUGGCGAAGGCGGCUUACUGGACGGUAACUGACGUUGAGGCUCGAAAGCGUGGGAGCAAACAGGAUUAGAUACCC